This 403-nucleotide ribosomal RNA is filed under the name Fusobacteriota bacterium. Its description in RNAcentral is "Fusobacteria bacterium partial 16S ribosomal RNA". It matches the Rfam family "Bacterial small subunit ribosomal RNA", at positions 355 to 776 of the family's 1533-position model. Lineage: Bacteria; Fusobacteriati; Fusobacteriota. The record is from RNAcentral.
UGGGGAAUAUUGCAUAAUGGAGGGAACUCUGAUGCAGCGACGCCGCGUGAACGAAGAAGGCUUUCGAGUCGUAAAGUUCUUUUAUAUGGGAAGAUAAUGACGGUACCAUAAGAAAAAGCCCCGGCUAACUACGUGCCAGCAGCCGCGGUAAUACGUAGGGGGCUAGCGUUGUCCGGAAUCACUGGGCGUAAAGGGUUCGCAGGCGGAAAUGCAAGUCAGGUGUAAAAGGCAGUAGCUUAACUACUGUAAGCAUUUGAAACUGCAUAUCUUGAGAAGAGUAGAGGUAAGUGGAAUUUUUAGUGUAGCGGUGAAAUGCGUAGAUAUUAAAAAGAAUACCGGUGGCGAAGGCGACUUACUGGGCUCAUUCUGACGCUGAGGAACGAAAGCGUGGGUAGCAAACAGG